Molecule: ribosomal RNA, 381 nt
Filed under: uncultured eukaryote
Lineage: Eukaryota
Description: partial 18S ribosomal RNA
Rfam family: Eukaryotic small subunit ribosomal RNA
Source: RNAcentral
CAAUAGCGUAUAUUAAAGUUGUUGCAGUUAAAAAGCUCGUAGUUGGAUUUCUGGUUGAAGCGACCGGUCGGGCGUUGAUUCGUCUGCACUGGAGUCGGUUUUGGCCAUCCUCUAGGAAAGUGCGUCUGGUAUUAAGUUAUCGGGCGUAUGAUCCUGGCCUUUUACUGUGAAAAAAUUAGAGUGUUUAAAGCAGGCCUUCGCCUUGAAUACAUUAGCAUGGAAUAAUAAGAUAGGACUUUGGUCUAUUUUGUUGGUUUGCAGACCGAAGUAAUGAUUAAUAGGGAUAGUUGGGGGUAUUUAUAUUCCGAUGUCAGAGGCGAAAUUCUUAGAUUUUCGGAAGAUAAACUUAUGCGAAAGCAUUUACCAAGGAUGUUUNCAUUA